GCGGGCGUAGCUCAUCGGUAGAGCAUAACCUUGCCAAGGUUGGGGUAGAGGGUUCGAUUCCCUUCGCCCGCU
This 72-nucleotide transfer RNA is filed under the name hydrothermal vent metagenome. RNAcentral describes it as "tRNA-Gly-GCC". It matches the Rfam family "tRNA". Rfam says of the family: Transfer RNA (tRNA) molecules are approximately 80 nucleotides in length. Their secondary structure includes four short double-helical elements and three loops (D, anti-codon, and T loops). The record is from RNAcentral.